AUUGGUUUUUAUUAGUUAUUUAGAGUUUUUAAAUCUGCGUACACAUAAUUUCAAUUUUCAAGAUUUAUAUAUUUUUGUGCUUUUUUUCCAUGAAGUUAACAUUUCAAAUUUAUUUUCUAUCUGCAAUGUAGCAACAGCUGUUGUUUCAUUCCAACAAAAGCAAACGAAUCAGAUUUCAAAGCGGACAGCAUGAAAUUUUUACGGUUAGAAGAGCACGUUUGCAAUCAACUAAAAUCAGUCAAUGGCUGCUACACAUUUCCUGUCUGGGCAGAUAAAUAGAAACAGAGCAACGAAAAAGAAAAACAUAAAACAACAAUAAUAACAUCAAUACACUGCUUACAAAUAAACCUAGGUGAACGGCAUUAAAUCUCAAUAAACAAAUUACAAAAAUUGAUCGCCAUAGAUUGAUGCUGAGAAUACGAAAGCAGUUAUUGAAUUGUAUGUGAGCAGCUGUGCGUGUGCGCUGUAACGGUAUAACGGUAUAUGUGGUGGAAAAAACCCAGAGUGCAAUGAAGUAAGAGCACGCAUUGUGUUGGCAGACAUCAGGUGUAUAUAUAUAGAUAUGUAUAUAUUGGUCGCGUAGAUAGUAUUUACGAAUCGACAGCCGAAACGUUCUUUGAAUAGCAAACAUUUUACCGGACAGGACGCAUUGGAAAAUGGGAAUACAACAAAAAAAUGCUGUGUUGGAUGUAAAAAGAAGUGAGAGAAGGCAAAAAGGUAGCAGCUGAACAUGAAGAAAAACGUAGCAAAGUAAGUAAGAAAUAUGGGCGCAAGUACAUGAACAUGAGAAUUUGACCUAAAAUGUGAGCGGACAUCAUUGGAAAUCGACCAAAUACAGUUUAUGCAUAGCUGGCUGAGGCGCGACAGUGGAUCAGUGGACCUAAUGCCGUAAAAUAUAUGUAAAAAUUUAAACGUAAGAAAAUCGAGUACAUUAGCGUAUUCAGGUUAGUAGGCAUAUUUGGCAGAAAAUAACAAUAAUAAAAAAAAGAUAAUAAAAGAUUUCGAGAAAAAUC
Molecule: long non-coding RNA, 1013 nt
Organism: Bactrocera oleae (olive fruit fly)
Lineage: Eukaryota; Metazoa; Arthropoda; Insecta; Diptera; Tephritidae
Source: RefSeq, a predicted model, not a curated record